GGAAUGUAAGUGACAGCUUGAAACUACCACUGUUGCAUUGGUGAUCUGUAUAUUAAAUGAGCCAGUCAUCACUAUUGUAGAGAUGGCUAAUUAAUUCAAUAAGAAUUAGAUGGAGGAUUCAGGAGAGUUUCUUGGACAAAAGAUAAAACAAUGCUUGGCUCCAAACUAAAUAAGUCUCAUUUCAUUCUAAAAUACUUUUGGAAGAGAGGCCCAAGUCGAGGCUCAGAAAAGUGUGUUUAUAUAGAGUAAAACAAGACUUGAGGUCUCCAGAAGCAAUUGGUGCUCUAUGAGGUUUAGGUCCUCCAUAGUGAGCAUACAGCUUCUCAGAAAUUCACAUAUCCAAUUGCUGGCUGGGUGCGGUGGCUCAUGUCUGUAAUCCCAACACUUUGGGAGGCCGAGGCAGGUGGAUCACUUGAGGUCAGGAGUUCAAGACCAGCCUGGCCAACAUGGUGAAACCCUGUAUCUACUAAAAAUACAAAAAUUAGCCAGGUGUGAUGGCCAGCAGCUUUAAUCCAAGCUACUCAGGAGGCUGAGGCAGGAUAAUUGCUUGAACCCAGGAGGUGGAGGUUCCA
Molecule: long non-coding RNA, 572 nt
Filed under: Homo sapiens (human)
Lineage: Eukaryota; Metazoa; Chordata; Mammalia; Primates; Hominidae
Description: HSALNT0282954
Source: RNAcentral